CCUAGUUGGAAGGCCGAAGAUGCCUUUGCCUGCUCAUCCACGUACGGGAGCGGAUCAACCCGGUGGCGCCGCCGACCUCCGGCGAGCCGCCGGCGAUGGCACCGCCGACAACCGCGCCACCGUGGUGACCUUACCGCCGCCGGAUUCAGUGGCUACCCCGGUAGCACCUACACGAAGGUUUUGAUCCUCAAAAAAGCUUAGGAUUUUCCCGUUCUUCCAAUCCGUGUGAGGACUAUGGAAUAAAGGAUAUACAUGAUUUAGCUUUCUUAAUUAGCACUACAUGAUAGCAAUUUGGCACCUUUCAAUGGAAGAUGUGUAACUGGUAAAGGAUAACAAAAGGGUAGGAAGAUUGCACCAUCAAUGCCGAAACUUUUCAUCCCCAAACUGAAGAAAAAGGGCAUGAUAAACUAAGGCCCUGUUUAGAUCUUCCAAAAUGACAAAAGUUUUGCUAUUUUGUUGUACUUUUUGCCAUUUUGGAUCUAAACACUAGUAGUAAAAGUUGGCAAUUUGGUAUUUGGCAUUUGCUAGUCCAUAGUAGCAAAUUGUGCCAAAAAGUGCUUUGGGACCACUCCAUCUCUCUUUCUCUUUCUCACUUUAUUGCUAGAAUGGUAAAACUUUAACAUGCAUCUAAACACCAACUAGUACUUUUGCAAUGCCAAAACUUUUGCCAUUUGCCA
Long non-coding RNA from Oryza sativa Japonica Group (Japanese rice), 677 nucleotides. RefSeq lists it as uncharacterized. NCBI's taxonomy places the organism in Eukaryota, Viridiplantae, Streptophyta, Magnoliopsida, Poales, Poaceae. The record is from RefSeq and is a predicted model, not a curated record.